This 486-nucleotide ribosomal RNA is filed under the name uncultured bacterium. RNAcentral describes it as "partial 16S ribosomal RNA". It matches the Rfam family "Bacterial small subunit ribosomal RNA", at positions 28 to 507 of the family's 1533-position model. The record is from RNAcentral.
GAUGAACGCUGGCGGCGUGCCUAAUACAUGCAAGUCGAACGCUGGAGAUCUAGCUUGCUAGAUCGAAGGAGUGGCGAACGGGUGAGUAAUACAUAAGCAACCUACCCACGAAGACUGGGAUAAUCUCUGGAAACGGGGACUAAUACCGGAUAGGUAAUCGGAAGGCAUCUUCUGGUUAUUAAAGGUUAAAAACACUGGUGGAUGGGCUUAUGGCGCAUUAGUUAGUUGGUGAGGUAACGGCCCACCAAGACGAUGAUGCGUAGCCGGCCUGAGAGGGUGAACGGCCACAAUGGGACUGAGACACGGCCCAGACUCCUACGGGAGGCAGCAGUAGGGAAUUUUCGGCAAUGGGGGCAACCCUGACCGAGCAACGCCGCGUGAGUGAAGACGGCCUUCGGGUUGUAAAGCUCUGUUGUAAGGGAAGAACGGUAGAUAGAGAAUAUCUAAGUGACGGUACCUUACCAGAAAGCCACGGCUAACUACGUG